GUAUUACAAUUAUGUUAUUGUAUGAAGCAUUGAAAUAGCUCAAGUGUUUGUAAUAAAACAUAGACAAAAAGGACUUUGCAAAGAGUCUCUUUUGCCUACCGAAAGGUGCACAGGUGGAUAUUGGUUUUGGGAGUGCACAUUGCCCCCUGAGGAGGGCCAGCACAUCCUUUAAAAUCAAUAAUGAUCCUUCCGCAGGUUCACCUACGGAAA
This 210-nucleotide unclassified non-coding RNA is filed under the name uncultured fungus. Its description in RNAcentral is "sequence contains ITS1". Lineage: Eukaryota; Fungi. The record is from RNAcentral.